Molecule: non-coding RNA, 7294 nt
Organism: Cinara cedri
Lineage: Eukaryota; Metazoa; Arthropoda; Insecta; Hemiptera; Aphididae
Source: the annotation of a GenBank genome assembly
ANAAACGAUUACGGCAUUAAAGUAAUACCCGAAGUAAAAAGCGUCCAUAUAACGUGGAAUAAAGUAAGUGUUUUUUUUAUUGUAAUUAUUAAUUGUUAAUUUACCGUUUUAAAACUGUAAAUAUACUGUAAAACAUCAUUGUUACGUAUUAGGUAUACUUAAAUAAACAUUUUUAAUUUCCAGAUAAUUACUAAACGACUUGAAUGCGAAGUUCGUGAAUAUGUUUUGACGUUAACGUUAAAUCAAUCGAAAAAUGGAAUCUCUGAUAUUCAAGAAAUAUUAUCAAGUUCAGACAGUGGACACGUAAUAAACGAUCUCUAUCCUGGAUAUCGAUACACCGUUUCAAUGACUCCUAAAACUUCUUUAGGUUCCUUACAGCCAUCAUCUACUUAUUCAUUUAGUCCAUUUAUGCCGGGUAAAUAUUAGUUUUAAUUAAAUUAACUUAUAUGUCAAUAUAAACGUUUUUUUUCUUUAUUUUUUAAUUAAUUUUAAAUUUAUAGAGUCAGAAAUGAAAAUAAUUGAUAUUGUCACUAGCAUCAACAAUGAUAAAAUAAAAGUAUCGUGGAAAUUAGGAUCUUCAGUUUAUCCAUUCAAUACGUUGGUUAAAAACCCAGUAACAUGCGUUGUCAGUUACAAAGUAAUUUUAUUAAAUUUAAAUAAUAUUAGUUACCUACCUACUUUUACUUAUCUAACUCGUUCAACAAUAAUUAGUAAAUAUUUCGAAUGAAAACUAUGUUCGAUUAAUUUACAAUUAUUAUAUAUUAUGAAUUCAAACAUUUAAACCCCUUUUGAAGUUAUGACCAUGUGGUGCUUAUACUUACGAGUAAAUGUAUUUUAUUAUGUCAAAUACUUCUUCAUUCCAAUAUGAAAUACUUAUGCAAGUUAUUUAAAUAAAAUAAUUACAAUGUCGUUCGGUUAAUUAUAAAUAAUUUAUUAUACUAAUUUAGUAGAUAUGAAUUUAUCCAAAUAUAGGGUGAUAAUAUUUAUAUUACAGAUUAUUUAGCUAAACUUAAAACAACCUAAAUAUUUUAACAAAAGAAUACACGUUGAUAAUCGACUUUAAUACGACUUUUGGUCACAUAUAUUCUAUAAAUUAAAUCCACGCUUAUACAAUAUUUUAGCUCAAUAGAAUAUUCAGUUGUUCUCUAAAUGAAAUAAAGAACGAUAAUUGGACAUCAAUACAAAUUUACAACCAAACAAGUUAUGACAUAUUCGGUGCUGUACCUCAUUCACAAUACUAUAUUAAAGUCGGAGUUCUCAAUUCAGUUCAAAAAGAAAAUACGGUGUAUGUUUAUACACCACCGUCAAGUAAAAUAAUAUAUUAUCAAACUCUCCUACAGUCACACAUUGUUAUUUACUAUAUAAUAUAAAUAUUUGCCCUUUAGAUCCACAAAUAAAACCUGAAAUCGAUAUAAACUCUCCAAUAUCAGUGACGAAUAGCUCGGUAAACGUUAAGUGGAAUGCCGAUUCUAUAGAUUGUACAAAGCUGAACGGAUUCUUAUUGGGAUAUUAUAUAGAAUUAAAGGUUUUUUUAUAAAUAAAAGUACACACAAUUAUUUCUUUACUAUAUAAUAUCCAAAUCAUUUUUUUUUUUUUUUUAAGGAUACGAGUAGUAAUAUUUUAAAAACAAAAGAGACGAAACAAAAUAUUAUUUCUUUCGAUAAUCUCAAUUCGAAUACUACCUACGAAAUGAAAGUUUUUAUAAAAACACAUGUCGGUUAUAACCCUGAGCAAUUUUUACGUGUCAAUUUUACUACUAAACUUAUGAGUAGGUUAACCAAAAUAUAUUGUAUAUUUGUAUGAAACUAUAAAAAUAUUAUUUCUAUAUGGUCUAUAUGAUAAUUAUAGAUUUGAAGCCAGUUGAUGAUUUAAUGGUUUAUAAAAAGAGUGCGAAAAGUGGGGUAGUAGGAUUUCGUUGGAGCUUUUUGUCAGAAAAUACAAAUUUGAAUGGAUUCAUAGUUUCAUUUAAUGAAAACUUAACAAAUACAUCUUUCAUUCUACCAAUUAAAUGUCCUGCUUGGCCAGAAUACUACUGUCAUACAUUCUAUAAUUUAAAUUUUAAUAAGGACUAUGAUAAAACUUAUACAUUCAAAGUACGUGCAUAAUAAAUUUCCACGAGUAUUCAAUUAUUUGGAUCGUACGAAAUACAUUGUUUAUUAAAAGAUUUUUAAAAUAUUAUAGAUAACUCCUAAGUCAUAUGAUUAUCCAAAUGGUGGUGUUGUUUCAUCGAUUUCUUUCAACGUUGAAGACGGACGUAAGUUAAAUGAUAUUUACACUAUGAGUUCUGGCUAUUAAAUAACGAUUUAUGAAAAAUGGUUUUAUUUUAAAAAUUAUUCCACAACCAAAUGUUCCCCUUCAAUAUACUCUCCUCCCUUCCUCACACACCGUUUCAUUCGUUUCUUCCAUAGCUCGAGGCAGUGCUGGAAGUCUGUUUUCGUAAGACUCAUCGACUCCAUCGACUCAAACCGGAUUCCUUUUAAGGUAGACUUUAUCUUCGGAAACAAGUAAAAGUCGCAGGGUGCCAAGUCGGGUGAGUAAGACUCGUGUUCGAGUACUGGAGUGCCUUAAGCGGCCAAAUAACGCUUCACAGACAGCGCGUUAUGGGCAUCGUUAUGGGUUAUCGACCGUUUCUUACGAACUCAUUCGCGCAAUGUUGCCAAAACUGUCAAAUAGUAAUGUUGGUUCACAGUUUGACCCUCUGGAACCCAUUCAGUCAUCACAAUACCGUUGAUAUCGAAGAAAACGGUUUUGAAUUUGGAUUACGACUGAAUUGGAUUCCGGUGCACUCUCNUAUAGGCCUCUUUUAACAACUUAUAGCACUCAGUUGGAGUUUUUUUUUUAGUUUAACGAGAAAAUUUUACGUUUAUCCGUUGAUCAUGUUUUUCGUCACACAUCGUUUUCGGCAAGAGAAAAAAACAUGUUCGUUUCUAAACGCUACAGAAAAAAUACUAAUGCACCAACAAAAACCCAAUUUUGUACUGACAUAAUAGACACUUCCAGCUAACCAGCGCUGUAUUCGGUUUUCCCCUAACCUUUUGGGACACUCUCUACGUAUGUCCUCGAUGAUUUGGAAUUCAAGGAAUCAAGCUGGAAAAAGAAAUAAGAAAUAUAAAAUAUUCCAAUUUUCAAUCUGUGAAGAUGUGAGAGAAAAAAAAUUCAAUCCAAAGGAAUUUGAACAUUAUUGUAUUGAAAAAAUGUAAAAAUUAUUCACUAAGCGCGCUUACCUCAUUUUUUAGUUAUUUUUAUAUUCGAAUUCUAUUUUUGGAAUGUUUAAGUGUAUUGAAAGCCGAUUUUUUCGAUAUACUUAUACAUAUUUUUAUCAUUUAAAGAAUAUUUUAUGUUGAUUGGCGAUAAAAACUUUGAUUUUUCAAGUGAGAAUUUCUAUUAAAAAUUCUAUAAAUAGAUGGAUUAGUUUUAUUUUAAAUACAUUUUGGUGCCAACAUUUUUGAUUUCCAUCAAUUCGUUCACUUAAUAUUUUAUUUUUAUUUCAGGUAGGGGAAGAGUAGUGGCUUAUAAUUUAUGUUGUGGCAGGGUGCGCAGCGUUUUAUUAGUGCUCCACUAUUAUUCUUCUACAUAAUCUAAAAAGUUGAAUAUCUCGUCAACGGGUUGACGGAACCCAAUUAAAAAUUUCAACACUGAAAUUUAUUGCAACUAUUACUUUAUCAAUUUAUGCAAUUUUUAAUUUAGGUUCCAAUUUUAACUUUUAAUGUUAACCCCCAAAAACUCCCCAAAUAAUACAUGAAAAUGAUAAAAUCAACGUCCUAGGAUAUGGGGACGAGUGCAUCCAGUGUUUUAGGCAUAGGCGUACGCUGUGGUAAUGCCAGGUAUGCCAUGACAUCCCUUACGGUCUGCAAACCAAUUUUUUUGUUCUUUAAUAUUUUAUAAACUUUUUUAUAAAUUGUUAUCCGUUAAGAAAUGUCAACACUUAAUCUUUCGUUUUUUUUUUAAAAAAUUGUCAUCAGGUCUAAUAUCCUAAAUUGUGAUUUUCAUAAAAUAUAAUUAAGUAAUAAUGGGGGUUUAGGAUUUAGAUAUGACAUCGACGCAUUACCUGACAGAGUUACAGAUUACCAAUAAUCAUAGAGCAGUCUGUUUAUUCCCAAAAAAAACAAAAAAAAAAUAUUUUAAGAUCUUUAUCAAUACAAUUUUGUAUUAUAUAUGUUUUUCUAUUUUGAAUAUUUACAUGAUAAAACGAUUUACAAGGAUAGCACUUUUUUUAAAGGUAAUCUAACUCGGGAGGUACUUUAGGGCGAUAUGAUUUUCAAUUUUCUUUAAUUUAAUGUUAUUAAUUAAUUAUUUAGAUACACUUGAAUACAUGCGAGGCAUAUUGUUUUUUAGAUAGGUAUAUUGGUUCAAUUAAACAUACUUUUUAUAGAAAACUAUGUUAUAAAAAAGUACCUUCUAGGAAUUCUCAAAAAUUAAAAUAACGAUCUAAAAUAUCAACAAAAGCCCAUUUCUCUUAAAUAUUGAUUUUACCAAUCCUUGGUAGAAACUUAUAGACAGAAAAAAAUACAUAUUUUAAGAAAAUGUUUACGUUCCGUGGUCAACUUGUAAUCUAAAAUGUGAAUAUGCCUAAUUCUGAGUGAAGUAAACAUUCAGAACCUAAAUUUUCUUGUCUGAGUCUCAUAUAGCUCUCUUUUGAUAAAUCAAAGUUGGUAUCACUACAGGAUACUCCUUAAAUGUUUUAAAAAAUCCUUGUAGGUAUAUCGAAAUAAUCAGCUUUAACUACACUUAAAAAUUCCAAAAAUCAGAAUUUGUUUAACCUAACCUAACUCAUACAAAAAAUGGAACGAGUUCGCUUAGUGAAUCUAUAUCACAAAGUGAAUAAUAUGUAUUGAACUUAUAGACUAUGAGUAUUGAGUUUAAUAUCUACCCAAAGAAUAAAAAUGUAUAAUGUUGAUAUCUUCGAAUCAUUGCAGUGACAUAAUGCAUUAGAGUUAUAGUUAUAGUUGUUUUUUUUUUAAUUCCAUUUAUAAAAUUAUUUGAAUUUUUUUCCCAACAAAUAUACAUAAUUAUAAAAAUUCAGCUUUAUUGUAAAUAUUGUGGUAUUUAGUAUUCUUCUCGUUCACAGAGCCUGGUUCUCCGGUUAAUUUUAAAGCUCAAUACAUUGACAGUACAACUAUUACUCUGCAGUGGGGUAUUCCAUGGAUAUUCAAUAGUAUUUUAGAUACAUUCAUUAUCAACGGAGAAGCCAUUUCAUCUGUGGAUAAUGAAAACAUGAACGAUAAUAUUAAUCCAAUAAUUAUUAUAGAAAUUCCAAUCGACGAAGAAUUACCUACUUAUAACUAUACGGUAAUGGAUAAAUACAUACAUUAAAAAACGGAUAUACUUCGCACGAUGUGGUGGGUUACUGUUGUAAUUGAUAAGUUAAGAAGAUAGAGGAAGAUAGAUAAAAGAAUAUAAAACAGAUUUCGGUUACACGUGUUUUGAAAUGCCGUAAUAUUUACGAUUUUCGUUAAAAUUGGAUAUUAAUAUUUUAAAAAAAGCAAAUAAAAUUGAGUGUAAUGUAUAAUUCGUUUUUUACCUAAUAUAAUUACUUAUAAUAACUUCUUAUUAAAUUUUAGAGUAUCAUAAAAAAAUUACGUAAAAAAUUAGCAAAAUUAUUGUAUAUCUCUAUAAAUAACUCAACAGUUUUGAAAAUUGUAUACACGUCUAGAAAAAAAAUAUAAGUAUGAUGUCAUACUAUCAUUUUAACAAAAUAAAAAACACAUCUUUUUAUAAAUAAUAUAUAUAUAUUAUUUUAUACUUAAAAUUAAAUUAUUAAAUGAUAUCUGAAUGUUAAGUAAAGUAUGUGAAAUAAAAUUACCAAAAUAAAGUGUCUUUCCCCACUUCAUAUUUUUUGAUUUUAUCAGAUCAAUAACAUGCAUUGUUAUACGUAUUUUAUCAUAAUAAACCAGUAAAGCCUAUUGUGCAUCAAGGUAACAAGGUUUAAAAAUUAAAAGACAAUUUUAGGUAAAAUGGGAAAUAUUUCCAACCUUACAGUGCUAUGGCUAUUAUUUAAAAUGUAUAUAGCUAAAUUUUUCUACCAUAAAUACUGCCCAAACUGAAAAAAACAAGAGACCAUUUUUGUUAAAUUUUUAAUUUAAUUUUUGAGCAAGUAAUUUUUUGUUUUUUUUUUUUUGAUUUUUCUUGUAGUUUUUAAUUUAGAAAAACCGGAAAGUGACAAAAAGUUAAAACCAAGAAAUUUAGGGCGAUAGGAUUCCUUUAUUUUAAAUUUAUACAACUUAAAUUUUCUAUACAAAAUAUUGUUCCAAUAUAAAAAUAAAAAACAAAGGACCUUUAUUGUUUCAUUUUAAAUUUAAGUGAUGUGCAAAAACGUCAAUUUUGAUUUUGUUUGUAGUUUUUUAAUAAUUGAUCAAAACAAAAAAAUACGUAGGAAAAACGGGUAAAAUUUACGAAAAUUAUUCAUUUUACUAGUUUAAUUUAAUUUUUGUUGUUUUAAGAAGCGGAUAAAAAUAUUCGUAGAUUUGAAAUUUGAAUAGUGAAAUCAAAUUUGCCUUUUCUAGUCUUUGUAUAAUUGCAAAAUAUUUGAAUCAUUUUUUACCUAUUUGUAGACAUUAAAUUUGCGAGAUUUUUACGUAACUUUUAUUCGGUAGUUACUCCGUGGAUGCAAUUGGUAGAUUAAACUGAAAUGCUUGAAAAUUUAACAGGAGAUUGAUAAUAAUUCGUACUUGAUGAUAAAAAUAAAAUUGAGAAUUGAAGAAUGUAGAAUUUUUUUAUAAGAGUUUUAAAACCAAAUUUCGGCGAAUAAAGUAAAUAUUACAGCCAUUAAAAACAUGUAUAACUGAACUUACCACAGAUUCAUUUUUCGUUAGCAAUAAUUUAUUGUUGCUUACAGAUCUAAAUUCCUAAAGACCCUCUAUAUCCUACCUUCCAAACUUCUUACUUACAACAGUGGCAUACCCGUCGUAUGAAGAUAUCCGUCUUUUUAAUUGCAUACUUAGUUAAAAAUAAAUAUAUACUCAUGUAUUUUAGAAUUAUAUAUAUAUAUAUAUAUAUAUAUGAAUCCGCAUCAUGAAUUUGUUUUAUAGGUAAAAAAUCUAAAACCCGGAUGUACGUAUUCAUUUGGAAUGUUAACCGUAUCCGAAUCUUUAUGGUAUAGCGAUCCGACCAGAAUUGCCGUUACAACUCUGGGAUAAUAAUUAAUUAUUAUACUCUUAUUAUUGGUUUCGAUAUUAUAACUUGUUUUUAGUUUCGUUUUUUAAUACAUUGUUAAUACCUCAUUUGAUAUAAUUUGUUAUAUUAAUAAAUAACAUACUAAUUAUUUGGAAUUUGCAUUUAAUAUAAAUAAUCGCUG